RNAcentral lists this small RNA (88 nucleotides) under Flavobacterium sp. 1. Its description in RNAcentral is "Flavo-1 RNA". It matches the Rfam family "Flavo-1 RNA". Lineage: Bacteria; Pseudomonadati; Bacteroidota; Flavobacteriia; Flavobacteriales; Flavobacteriaceae. The record is from RNAcentral.
AAUCAGCCCCGAUAGCAGAGGAAAUCCUUUUUUGUCACGUUUUUUUCAGACGAGACAAAAAAGAUUGCAACGGAUAGCGGGAGAAAUG